GCCAGCAGCCAUAUUACCCUGCAACUCACAACUGGCAACCCACUGAAGCUAAGCAGGUGUGAGCCUGGUCAGUACCUGGAUGGGAGACCUCCUGGGAAAAACUAAGGUUGCUGCUGGAA
This is a ribosomal RNA of Lepisosteus oculatus (spotted gar), 119 nucleotides long. NCBI's taxonomy places the organism in Eukaryota, Metazoa, Chordata, Actinopteri, Semionotiformes, Lepisosteidae. The record is from Ensembl.